GACGAACGCUGGCGGCGUGCCUAAUACAUGCAAGUAGAACGCUGAAGGAGGAGCUUGCUUCUCUGGAUGAGUUGCGAACGGGUGAGUAACGCGUAGGUAACCUGCCUGGUAGCGGGGGAUAACUAUUGGAAACGAUAGCUAAUACCGCAUAAGAGUAGAUGUUGCAUGACAUUUACUUAAAAGGUGCAAUUGCAUCACUACCAGAUGGACCUGCGUUGUAUUAGCUAGUUGGUGAGGUAACGGCUCACCAAGGCAACGAUACAUAGCCGACCUGAGAGGGGGAUCGGCCACACUGGGACUGAGACACGGCCCAGGCUCCUACGGGAGGGAGCAGGAGGGGAUCUUCGGGAAUGGAGGGAAGGCUGGCCGGGCAACGGCGCGUGAGUGAAGAAGGUUUUCGGAUCGUAAAGCUCUGGUGUAGGGGGAGAACGAGUGGGGGAGUGGAAAGUUCACACUGUGACGGUAGCUUAGCAGAAAGGGACGGCUAACUACGUG
This 495-nucleotide ribosomal RNA is filed under the name uncultured bacterium. Its description in RNAcentral is "partial 16S ribosomal RNA". It matches the Rfam family "Bacterial small subunit ribosomal RNA", at positions 28 to 507 of the family's 1533-position model. The record is from RNAcentral.